Molecule: ribosomal RNA, 497 nt
Filed under: uncultured bacterium
Lineage: Bacteria
Description: partial 16S ribosomal RNA
Rfam family: Bacterial small subunit ribosomal RNA
Source: RNAcentral
GAGGAAGGAGGGGGGCGUGCCUAAUACAUGCAAGUCGAGCGAACGGAUGAGAAGCUUGCUUCUCUGAUGUUAGCGGCGGACGGGUGAGUAACACGUGGAUAACCUACCUAUAAGACUGGGAUAACUUCGGGAAACCGGAGCUAAUACCGGAUAAUAUUUUGAACCGCAUGGUUCACACGUGAAAGACGGUCUUGCUGUCACUUAUAGAUGGAUCCGCGCUGCAUUAGCUAGUUGGUAAGGUCACGGCUUACCAAGGCAACGAUGCAUAGCCGACCUGAGAGGGUGAUCGGCCACACUGGAACUGAGACACGGUCCAGACUCCUACGGGAGGCAGCAGUAGGGAAUCUUCCGCAAUGGGCGAAAGCCUGACGGAGCAACGCCGCGUGAGUGAUGAAGGUCUUCGGAUCGUAAAACUCUGUUAUUAGGGAAGAACAUAUGUGUAAGUAACUGUGCACAUCUUGACGGUACCUAAUCAGAAAGCCACGGCUAACUACGUG